Molecule: ribosomal RNA, 509 nt
Filed under: uncultured bacterium
Lineage: Bacteria
Description: partial 16S ribosomal RNA
Rfam family: Bacterial small subunit ribosomal RNA
Source: RNAcentral
ACGAACGCUGGCGGCGUGCUUAACACAUGCAAGUCGAACGAAGAGCGAUGGAAGCUUGCUUCUAUCAAUCUUAGUGGCGAACGGGUGAGUAACGCGUAAUCAACCUGCCCUUCAGAGGGGGACAACAGUUGGAAACGACUGCUAAUACCGCAUACGAUCUAAUCUCGGCAUCGAGGAUAGAUGAAAGGUGGCCUCUACAUGUAAGCUAUCACUGAAGGAGGGGAUUGCGUCUGAUUAGCUAGUUGGAGGGGUAACGGCCCACCAAGGCGAUGAUCAGUAGCCGGUCUGAGGGGAUGAACGGCCACAUUGGGACUGAGACACGGCCCAGACUCCUACGGGAGGCAGCAGUGGGGAAUCUUCCGCAAUGGACGAAAGUCUGACGGAGCAACGCCGCGUGAGUGAUGACGGCCUUCGGGUUGUAAAGCUCUGUUAAUCGGGACGAAAGGCCUUCUUGCGAAUAGUGAGAAGGAUUGACGGUACCGGAAUAGAAAGCCACGGCUAACUACGUG